AUGGGUGUAGCUCCAAUAGGUAGAGCGGCGGAUUCCAAAUCCGAAGGCUGUGGGUUCGAGUCCCUCCACCUGUGCCA
RNAcentral lists this transfer RNA (77 nucleotides) under Vibrio coralliirubri. RNAcentral's name for it is "tRNA-Trp". It matches the Rfam family "tRNA". From Rfam's summary of the family: Transfer RNA (tRNA) molecules are approximately 80 nucleotides in length. Their secondary structure includes four short double-helical elements and three loops (D, anti-codon, and T loops). The record is from RNAcentral. Lineage: Bacteria; Pseudomonadati; Pseudomonadota; Gammaproteobacteria; Vibrionales; Vibrionaceae.